UUAAAGGCAUACCGAGGGUUUAACUGACCCCUUUUUCUUGUCAAUGAAAUUGAUCUCCCCGUGCAUAAGCGGGGAUAAUAACAUAAGACGAGAAGACCCUAUGGAGCUUUAGACACCAAGCAGCCCAUGUCAAAACCACCCCCACACGGAAAUAAACUAAAUGGACCCUGCCCUAUUGUCUUUGGUUGGGGCGACCACGGGGAAACACAAAACCCCCACGCGGAAUGGGAGCACACCUCCUAAAACCAAGAGCCACAGCUCUAAUUAACAGAAUUUCUGACCACUAUGAUCCGGCAAUGCCGAUCAACGGACCGAGUUACCCUAGGGAUAACAGCGCAAUCCUCUUUUAGAGCCCAUAUCGACAAGAGGGUUUACGACCUCGAUGUUGGAUCAGGACAUCCUAAUGGUGCAGCCGCUAUUAAGGGUUCGUUUGUUCAACGAUUAAAGUCCUACGUGAUCUGAGUUCAAACCGGAG
This 475-nucleotide ribosomal RNA is filed under the name Brotula clarkae. RNAcentral describes it as "partial large subunit ribosomal RNA". It matches the Rfam family "Bacterial large subunit ribosomal RNA", at positions 1993 to 2621 of the family's 2925-position model. The record is from RNAcentral. Lineage: Eukaryota; Metazoa; Chordata; Actinopteri; Ophidiiformes; Ophidiidae.